Molecule: ribosomal RNA, 452 nt
Filed under: uncultured bacterium
Lineage: Bacteria
Description: bacterial SSU rRNA
Rfam family: Bacterial small subunit ribosomal RNA
Source: RNAcentral
ACUCCUACGGGAGGCAGCAGUGGGGAAUAUUGCACAAUGGGCGCAGCUGACUGCAGCCAUGCCGCGCUGUGUGAAGAAGGCCAAUUCGGGCUUGGUUAAGACACUUUUCAGUCGUGAGGAAGGUAGUGUAGUUAAUAGCUGCAUUAUUUGACGUUAGCGACAGAAGAAGCACCGGCUAACUCCGUGCCAGCAGCCGCGGUAAUACGGAGGGUGCGAGCGUUAAUCGGAAUUACUGGGCGUAAAGCGCAUGCAGGUGGUUUGUUAAGUCAGAUGUGAAAGCCCGGGGCUCAACCUCGGAAUUGCAUUUGAAACUGGCAGACUAGAGUACUGUAGAGGGGGGUAGAAUUUCAGGUGUAGCGGUGAAAUGCGUAGAGAUCUGAAGGAAUACCGGUGGCGAAGGCGGCCCCCUGGACAGAUACUGACACUGCUGCCUCCCGUAGGAGUACUGUCAU